RNAcentral lists this unclassified non-coding RNA (232 nucleotides) under Exophiala xenobiotica. RNAcentral's name for it is "sequence contains ITS1". The record is from RNAcentral. Lineage: Eukaryota; Fungi; Ascomycota; Eurotiomycetes; Chaetothyriales; Herpotrichiellaceae.
CGAGUUAGGGUUCAUCAAGAGCCCGGACCUCCCAACCCUUUGUUUAUCACACCCUUGUGUUGCUUCGGUAGGCCUGGCUCGUCCUACCGGAGGACCGUAAAACGUCCUCUGGAGAGUGCCUACCGAUGGCCCCAACCUCAAAACUCUUGUAACAAAACAUGUCUUGUCUGAGUAACCAAAACAAAAUUAAAAGCAAAACUUUCAACAACGGAUCUCUUGGUUCUGGCAUCGA